Molecule: long non-coding RNA, 362 nt
Filed under: Anas platyrhynchos platyrhynchos (common mallard)
Lineage: Eukaryota; Metazoa; Chordata; Aves; Anseriformes; Anatidae
Description: lncRNA (ENSAPLG00000024682.1)
Source: RNAcentral
AUUAAAUUACAAGAACUUUAUUCAGAUUAAUUUUAUUAGCAGAACUCAGAUAAUUUAGCACUUUGAAUAGAAAAGAAGGUUUAUACAAGUCAUGAUAUAUGUGACUUAGUGAACCUCCUAUUGGAUUUCUUGUAUUUCUCUCUAGUGCUCCAAUGCACACCAUAAAAAAAGAUCAACCUGUUCCCCAGAGAGUUUUCAGAGAGAGGUCUGUUUCUAGCUACCAUAUCUGUGCCCUGCUACAGAAUACAGGUCAGGGAAAAGGAUGUGGUGAUAUUGGCUUCCCGAAGAGAAGAGAACCCCUGUCACAAGACAGAUUACUUUGCAGGAGAGUUAAGAAGAAUACUGGAGAUAACAUGGACUAA